Molecule: ribosomal RNA, 400 nt
Filed under: uncultured bacterium
Lineage: Bacteria
Description: bacterial SSU rRNA
Rfam family: Bacterial small subunit ribosomal RNA
Source: RNAcentral
GGGGAAUAUUGGACAAUGGGCGCAAGCCUGAUCCAGCCAUGCCGCGUGAGUGAUGAAGGCCCUAGGGUUGUAAAGCUCUUUCAGUGGGGAAGAUAAUGACGGUACCCACAGAAGAAGCCCCGGCUAACUUCGUGCCAGCAGCCGCGGUAAUACGAAGGGGGCUAGCGUUGUUCGGAAUUACUGGGCGUAAAGCGCACGUAGGCGGAUUUUUAAGUCAGGGGUGAAAUCCCGGGGCUCAACCCCGGAACAGCCUUUGAUACUGGAGAUCUAGAGUCCGAGAGAGGUGAGUGGAAUUCCGAGUGUAGAGGUGAAAUUCGUAGAUAUUCGGAGGAACACCAGUGGCGAAGGCGGCUCACUGGCUCGGUACUGACGCUGAGGUGCGAAAGCGUGGGGAGCAAAC